UACGUAGGGGGCAAGCGUUGUCCGGAUUUAUUGGGCGUAAAGAGCGUGUAGGCGGUUUGGUAGGUCCGCUGUGAAAACUCGAGCUCAACCUCGAGACGCCGGUGGAAACCAUCAGACUAGAGUCCGGAAGAGGAGAGUGGAAUUCCUGGUGUAGCGGUGAAAUGCGCAGAUAUCAGGAAGAACACCCGUGGCUAAGGCGGCUCUCUAGUACGGUACUGACGCUGAGACGCGAAAAGCGUGGGGAGCGAACAGG
This 253-nucleotide ribosomal RNA is filed under the name uncultured bacterium. Its description in RNAcentral is "partial 16S ribosomal RNA". It matches the Rfam family "Bacterial small subunit ribosomal RNA", at positions 524 to 776 of the family's 1533-position model. The record is from RNAcentral.